Ribosomal RNA from Gallus gallus (chicken), 118 nucleotides. The record is from Ensembl. NCBI's taxonomy places the organism in Eukaryota, Metazoa, Chordata, Aves, Galliformes, Phasianidae.
GCCUACGGCCAUCCCACCCUGGUAACGCCCGAUCUCGUCUGAUCUCGGAAGCUAAGCAGGGUCGGGCCUGGUUAGUACUUGGAUGGGAGACCUCCUGGAAUACCGGGUGCUGUAGGCU